GUGCCAGCAGCCGCGGUAAUACAGAGGUCCCAAGCGUUGUUCGGAUUCACUGGGCGUAAAGGGUGCGUAGGCGGUCGGAUAAGUCUGAUGUGAAAUCUUGGAGCUUAACUCCGAAACUGCAUUGGAUACUGUUCGGCUGGAGGUUGGGAGGGGGGACUGGAAUUCUCGGUGUAGCAGUGAAAUGCGUAGAUAUCGAGAGGAACACCAGUGGCGAAGGCGAGUCCCUGGACCAAUCCUGACGCUGAGGCACGAAAGCCAGGGGAGCAAACGGGAUUAGAUACCCCGGUAGUCCUGGCCCUAAACGGUGCAUGUUUGCUGUGAGAGGAAUCGACCCCUUUCGUGGCGGAGCUAACGCGUUAAACAUGCCGCCUGGGGAGUACGGUCGCAAGAUUAAA
RNAcentral lists this ribosomal RNA (395 nucleotides) under uncultured bacterium. RNAcentral describes it as "bacterial SSU rRNA". It matches the Rfam family "Bacterial small subunit ribosomal RNA", at positions 505 to 898 of the family's 1533-position model. The record is from RNAcentral.